AAAUUGAAGAGUUUGAUCAUGGCUCAGAUUGAACGCUGGCGGCAGGCCUAACACAUGCAAGUCGAACGGUAACAGGAAGCAGCUUGCUUCUUUGCUGACGAGUGGCGGACGGGUGAGUAAUGUCUGGGAAACUGCCUGAUGGAGGGGGAUAACUACUGGAAACGGUAGCUAAUACCGCAUAAUGUCGCAAGACCAAAGAGGGGGACCUUCGGGCCUCUUGCCAUCGGAUGUGCCCAGAUGGGAUUAGCUUGUUGGUGGGGUAACGGCUCACCAAGGCGACGAUCCCUAGCUGGUCUGAGAGGAUGACCAGCCACACUGGAACUGAGACACGGUCCAGACUCCUACGGGAGGCAGCAGUGGGGAAUAUUGCACAAUGGGCGCAAGCCUGAUGCAGCCAUGCCGCGUGUAUGAAGAAGGCCUUCGGGUUGUAAAGUACUUUCAGCGGGGAGGAAGGGAGUAAAGUUAAUACCUUUACUCAUUGACGUUACCCGCAGAAGAAGCACCGGCUAACUCCGUGCCAGCAGCCGCGGUAAUACGGAGGGUGCAAGCGUUAAUCGGAAUUACUGGGCGUAAAGCGCACGCAGGCGGUUUGUUAAGUCAGAUGUGAAAUCCCCGGGCUCAACCUGGGAACUGCAUCUGAUACUGGCAAGCUUGAGUCUCGUAGAGGGGGGUAGAAUUCCAGGUGUAGCGGUGAAAUGCGUAGAGAUCUGGAGGAAUACCGGUGGCGAAGGCGGCCCCCUGGACGAAGACUGACGCUCAGGUGCGAAAGCGUGGGGAGCAAACAGGAUUAGAUACCCUGGUAGUCCACGCCGUAAACGAUGUCGACUUGGAGGUUGUGCCCUUGAGGCGUGGCUUCCGGAGCUAACGCGUUAAGUCGACCGCCUGGGGAGUACGGCCGCAAGGUUAAAACUCAAAUGAAUUGACGGGGGCCCGCACAAGCGGUGGAGCAUGUGGUUUAAUUCGAUGCAACGCGAAGAACCUUACCUGGUCUUGACAUCCACGGAAGUUUUCAGAGAUGAGAAUGUGCCUUCGGGAACCGUGAGACAGGUGCUGCAUGGCUGUCGUCAGCUCGUGUUGUGAAAUGUUGGGUUAAGUCCCGCAACGAGCGCAACCCUUAUCCUUUGUUGCCAGCGGUCCGGCCGGGAACUCAAAGGAGACUGCCAGUGAUAAACUGGAGGAAGGUGGGGAUGACGUCAAGUCAUCAUGGCCCUUACGACCAGGGCUACACACGUGCUACAAUGGCGCAUACAAAGAGAAGCGACCUCGCGAGAGCAAGCGGACCUCAUAAAGUGCGUCGUAGUCCGGAUUGGAGUCUGCAACUCGACUCCAUGAAGUCGGAAUCGCUAGUAAUCGUGGAUCAGAAUGCCACGGUGAAUACGUUCCCGGGCCUUGUACACACCGCCCGUCACACCAUGGGAGUGGGUUGCAAAAGAAGUAGGUAGCUUAACCUUCGGGAGGGCGCUUACCACUUUGUGAUUCAUGACUGGGGUGAAGUCGUAACAAGGUAACCGUAGGGGAACCUGCGGUUGGAUCACCUCCUUA
RNAcentral lists this ribosomal RNA (1542 nucleotides) under Escherichia coli. Its description in RNAcentral is "bacterial SSU rRNA". It matches the Rfam family "Bacterial small subunit ribosomal RNA". Lineage: Bacteria; Pseudomonadati; Pseudomonadota; Gammaproteobacteria; Enterobacterales; Enterobacteriaceae. The record is from RNAcentral.